Molecule: long non-coding RNA, 378 nt
Filed under: Androctonus crassicauda
Lineage: Eukaryota; Metazoa; Arthropoda; Arachnida; Scorpiones; Buthidae
Source: RNAcentral
AUUGAAUAGAGCAUUUACAGCAUUUAUUUUUUGAUAGAAGACAGGCAGCAUGAGAUACACUGGAUAACACAACAAGCACUAAAACAUGGAUAUAAGAUGAGUAUGGUUGAUAAGCUUCUUAAGGAGAUUAAUAGGACUAAAUGUGCUGACGAUAGUAAUAGACAAACAGGGCUACCAUAUAUGAUGGACAUUAAUUCCAUCUCAUUGAAAUUUAAAAGGAAACUAGAGAAACUCUCUGGCCAGAAAAUCGUCUUUAACAGAAGAAAUACACUGUUCAACUGUAUCAGGAAUGACAAAGAUAGGAUUGACGACACAUAUUUCCCUGGAGUAUACCAGAUCCCUUUCUAUGAUAAUGACACAGAUACCAGCACAAACUAU